CAUUACCUGGGUGAUCCAAAGAAGUCUGAGAAAGAAUGAUCAAAUAGGAAGAAGAACCAGGAGAGAACAGAGCACAAGCACCUUCUUUGAUCCGGGCAUGCUGUGCUGAGCAGUCCUUUGCUAGCAUCUCCUAUGUCAUGCAAUCAGUUCCAAAGUUCUUCAGAGAGACUUUGAGAGUCUCCUUGUAUCACUUCUUCUGACUACCAUAGCCUCCCAAACACUGAGCUAGCUCUGGCAAUACGUAUGUCAGCCUCAUUAUCAAUGUGGACAUCCCUAGAAAGCAUACUGCCAAGGAAAACUUACAUCAAUGAGUGCACAAGAUCCUUUUCAGUCUUGGAUGGGCCAUCGCUAUGCAUAGCACCCGGUUCUCCAUUCCAGCCCGUGAUGAUGGAUGCAUCCAGUUUUCCUUUGCUGCUAAGAUCCUUUAAGCACUUCCUCUCAAAUCUGUAAUUGCUAAUUCUUCUCCAGAAACCGGGCAGCAGCCUAUCAGCUUAGGACAAACCAGAGCCCUCGUAGAUAAAGAAGUUGAUGCCAAAGCUCCCCUCCUGUAGAGUCACUUCAUUUUUCUCUGGAAUUUGCUCAUCUGUAAACGGAAAGAAUCCCAGAAAAUCAUAGGAUGCUGCAGUUGGCACUCAGUCCAAACCAUCCUUGUGAAAGAGUCCCCACUACAAUUUGUUGGGGGGGUGGGGAGUGACAAGCAGUUGACGGGCUUCUAUGCCUGAAGACUUUUAGCCCCCCUGGCCCAAGGCAGCCCAUUCCACUUUUGGACAACUCAAAUCACCAGACUGGUUUUUCCUGACUUCAAGACUAAAUUUGCCUCUUUGCUAUUUCUACCCACUGGUCCUAAUUCUGUCUCCUGGGGCCAGUGGAAAAGGAAGUGAGCUUCUGAAGGAGAAAAUUACGUGACAAAAAUGACCAGAGAAGGAAACACUUAAGGUGAAUGAGGAGAAGGAAAUCAUGAAGACAAUUUGAGGGCAUUGAACUUGUGAACAAGCCUGGAGACUAAAUUUGGGGAAUAGAAAUUGGGAGAAUUGGAAGAAAAUCAAAAGAUAAGAAAGAUAGCUCAGCCUGAAGGAAGAAAAGAAUUGAAGAAAAGGAAUUGAAGAAGAACAGAAGGGAAGAGAAGCAAGGGAGGAAGAAGAGGCGAUUCAAAUGCCUGUUCAUUUCCUAUUCCUUUUCAUCCAGUUUUAUCAGCCUAGGUGUAUGUUAUUUAUCACUUCCACCUCCCCACAGUCUUUCAGUCCUAUCCAGGUCAGAGCUACUCCUCUCUUGCCCCAUUUCAUUUCUUUCCCUUCCAUUCAGAGCCCAUAGAACCACCUAUAUGGCUUUUGGGACUCUCUCUCUAUUCUUAACAAAACUUUCCAUUCCUUUGGACCUGCUCUUUGACACUCCCUCCACCUCAUUUUAUUUGAAAUUGAACCUUCACCCAAGGGUCUCUACAAUCCUCAAAUCUUCCUCCGUUUUCGGCUAUUGCAUCUCUUAUUCACCCUUGUCUUGCAUUGCCAAGGAGAAGGAUGCAGAUGCCCCUCGCUCUCUCUCCAGACCAAUGGCCUGCUCCCAUACUUCAGUAAUUUUUGAUCUUUUGACAUUCAGAUUCAUUCAAUCUGAUCAGGCUUCCCCAUUUCUCUCCUCAUUACCUCUUAAUAAGUGCUUGUUGUUUGACUGCUGUCAUCUGCCAACCUCUAGCUCACUCUCCCAUUGGACGAAGAGCCUUCCUCUUUUCUUUAUCCACUGCCAUUGUCCUUAGUCACUUCAGUAUGUGAUAUAUGGAGAAGUUUUCAGACCCUUUGACCUCCCACUCCUCAGCUUCCUGAACUUCACCCUCUGUUUCCACUGUACUUCAGCCAUCCUUGGGCUUCGCCACAUGGAACUGUGUCACCAUUGAGAUCCCAAAAUCUAGAAUUGUGUUCUCACUCAGACCACAGUCACCUAGCCUUCCAGUCUCCCUCUGCCAUGCUCAAAAUAAGCUUGGUCUUUGACCUCUGCUUGCCCUCCUGCCUAGUCUUCCACUCAAACUUCACUCUCCUCCCUAUCUGAUUUUGACAAAUGAGACUGCCACUUAAUCACCGUUCUAAAAUCCCUUGCUAUUCCCAUAUACUCCCCAAAACCUCUUGCCCACUGAAGCUUGCUAAUCCUCCCCCCUCUCCCCCACCAAUAAAUGCCCCACCAUCCAAUUUCCCCAUUCAUUCCCACAUCCUUGAAUACUACUGAAGCAAGUCAUACUGAUUUUGCCCACUAUGAACUUAUGGUGCAUAACAUUAGCUCACUGCUGCUAGGCAAUCUUUCUAUUUAGCUCUAGUUGAUUCCAAAUCUCAUUCCAUGCAGUGGCUAUUUUAAACUUUGUCCUUUCUCAUCAAGGACUGACAACCAACACAUAGCAGACAACCUAAACUCUUGGUUCAACGAGUUGCUUCAACUUUCCCCUCUAUACCUCAAAAGUUCUUAAUAUCUACACCCAUUUCAUCCUUCUUCUCCUGUUUUAAAAGACAGAGCUUCUCUGCUCCUUCCAAAAACUAAUGGUUCUUCUUGGGUCGGUGAUGCUAUCACAGAAUUUCUUCAUUUGAAGGGACCGCAGAUGUCAUCUCCUUUGAUCCAUCCCUGAACAACAAUCACCCUGCUUACAAUGUAUGCCAUUUUAUACCAUUCACUACCCAUGAUGUAACGAUUGCACCUGCCAGGCCUUGCAGAACUCUCAGAAAUGGUUUAUCUGGGCUUGAUGGCUUGAACUUAACAAGGGCAGCCAGAUGUUCUUUUAUUUAACUUUGAUUUUUUUUUCAUUAACAUACUUUACCUUGCCGUUUUCUUAGCUUUUGUACAGUUUGUCACUUAAUUUUUUUUUUAUCUUUAUUAAAUCCCUAUCAGUUACUAUUUGUCUCCUCUAGUCCAAAAAUUACUGUUCUUAGUAGAGGAAAGGGGUACAAAAUCAAAAGUUAAAUAGCUCCGUCUUCAAUUUCCUAUUAUCCAUACCCAAUCUACCCUGAGAAGUCAUCCUAUCCCUUCUCUGAUCCUCUUUUCUUCCACACAAUAACUAAAAGAACAAAAAGUCAGCUUUUUGUCUUACUUAGCUGUCUUUGCCAUCCUCAACUCAUUCUGAUCUUUAGCACUCCUGACACUGUCCUUAAUUUUGCAUUCAUCUUCUGUUGCCUUUCUUUGCUUCCAACUUUUGUGCAUGUUUUUGAAGUCUAAGUUGGUUGAUUAUCUCCCUUCCUUGUCCUCUAGGACCUUGGUCCUGUAAUCACCCCCUCUAGCUCAUUCAGCGUACAACUUUCUCUUUCCUCUACUUCUUUCUCAGCUAUCUACAGUCAUGUUCAGGUAACUUAUUUUUUAAAGCCUUCUCUUGAUUGUUCUCACCUUUCCCAUUUCCAUCUCAUCUCUCUCUUCCCCUUCAGAGCCACUUUUUGCACAACUAGUCUUAACCUUACCCCAUCUUUGACUGACCACCUGCUCUCUGCACAACCCUCUGUACUGUUUUCUCAUCAUUUGCUCCAUCACUGCUAUCAUCUCAUUUUACCGAUGAGGAAAUUAGGACUUAGACAAUUUAAGUGACUUGAUGAAGGUCACCUAGCUAGUCAGUGGCAGAGCUCUGAACAGAUCUCUAAUCUCCUGAGUCAGUAUCCAUUAGGGAUGUUUUUUCUGCUGUUAUUAUUGUUGUUUCUCAUGUCUAAAUAUCAUUUCUUUGACCUGAGAGCUAGUCACAAUUUAUAAAAUUUGCAUUUUGGGUUUCUGAAGGGGUAGAAAAUGACUGAUCAGUAAGGUCAAAAGAACCUCGUGUGUUUUGGAAAAUUGGAAGUCAGAAUGAUACCAGAAUAUUACUUGAUGAGAACCUCUGCGUGCCAACAUUCAUAAGUUUAAAAAAAAAAAAGUACAGUAUGGAAAGAGCAGUGCAGCUCAGGUGAGAGCAAUAGUACUAAACUAAUUACAAGAGACAAUUGAUUUCAUUAUAAGUAAGAAAAAACACAAAACUUGUUUUGCUUUUUCAUUGUCACAGUUUACCUCCCCCACUUCCUUAGCAUUUUGACUGUUUCUCAUUUAACUCUGUUAUGCAGCCUGAAGCCUCUCAUAGACAUCCCAGGAUACGUGAU
Phascolarctos cinereus (koala) is the source of this 4082-nucleotide non-coding RNA. Lineage: Eukaryota; Metazoa; Chordata; Mammalia; Diprotodontia; Phascolarctidae. The record is from RefSeq and is a predicted model, not a curated record.